RNAcentral lists this long non-coding RNA (355 nucleotides) under Phoenix dactylifera (date palm). RNAcentral's name for it is "long non-coding RNA (PDAC_LNC011901)". The record is from RNAcentral. Lineage: Eukaryota; Viridiplantae; Streptophyta; Magnoliopsida; Arecales; Arecaceae.
UGGGGUCGGCUUAGUGAAGGUUGGGGUCGGCCCUCUCAAUAAAUUCCAGAGACUUAUUUUCUUGAGGCUUAAAGAUGGAGUCGACUCAAGCAUGCUUGGGGUCGACUCCACUACUGUUCAUCCGUGCCAAUUUCGCAGAGGUGUGCCUAAUGGUUCCAUGAUGUGCCGGGGUCGACUCCACCUUUCUUGGGGUCAACUCAUUCCACACUUUGCUGCAUCUUAAGGUUAGAUUCAUUCAUACAAUCAAUGAAAUAUGCUUCAAACAAUUUUGAAUGUAUGCCAUGGUAGUGUUACAUACUCUUAACAAUGAAAGUUACUAUUGUGCCCUUAAGAGUACGUUUCACUUGAAACUUUG